GACGAACGCUGGCGGCGUGCUUAACACAUGCAAGUCGAGCGGUAAGGCCCUUUCGGGGGUACACGAGCGGCGAACGGGUGAGUAACACGUGGGUGACCUGCCCUUAGCUCUGGGAUAAGCCUGGGAAACUGGGUCUAAUACCGGAUAUGACUCCAUGACGCAUGUUGUGGGGUGGAAAGCCUUGUGCGGCUAGGGAUGGGCCCGCGGCCUAUCAGCUUGUUGGUGGGGUGAUGGCCUACCAAGGCGACGACGGGUAGCCGGCCUGAGAGGGCGACCGGCCACACUGGGACUGAGACACGGCCCAGACUCCUACGGGAGGCAGCAGUGGGGAAUCUUGCGCAAUGGGCGAAAGCCUGACGCAGCGACGCCGCGUGGGGAGUGACGGCCUCGGU
RNAcentral lists this ribosomal RNA (392 nucleotides) under uncultured bacterium. RNAcentral describes it as "bacterial SSU rRNA". It matches the Rfam family "Bacterial small subunit ribosomal RNA", at positions 28 to 423 of the family's 1533-position model. The record is from RNAcentral.